UGAGGAAUUUUGCGCAAUGGGAGCAAUCCUGACGCAGCAACGCCGCGUGGGUGAAGAAGGCCUUCGGGUCGUAAAGCCCUGUCAGGUGGGAAGAAAUGGUCGAGGUCGAACAGGCCUUGAUUUUGACGGUACCACCAGAGGAAGCACCGGCUAACUCCGUGCCAGCAGCCGCGGUAAUACGGAGGGUGCAAGCGUUAUUCGGAAUUACUGGGCGUAAAGCGCGUGCAGGCGGGAAGGUAAGUCUGAUGUGAAAGCCCCGGGCUUAACCCGGGAAGUGCAUUGGAAACUGCUUUUCUUGAGUACUGGAGAGGAAGGGAGAAUUCCCGGUGUAGAGGUGAAAUUCGUAGAGAUCGGGAGGAACACCAGUGGCGAAGGCGCCCUUCUGGACAGUUACUGACGCUGAGACGCGAAAGCGUGGGGAGCAAACA
RNAcentral lists this ribosomal RNA (428 nucleotides) under uncultured prokaryote. Its description in RNAcentral is "bacterial SSU rRNA". It matches the Rfam family "Bacterial small subunit ribosomal RNA", at positions 355 to 774 of the family's 1533-position model. The record is from RNAcentral.